Molecule: ribosomal RNA, 566 nt
Filed under: Auriscalpium microsporum
Lineage: Eukaryota; Fungi; Basidiomycota; Agaricomycetes; Russulales; Auriscalpiaceae
Description: partial large subunit ribosomal RNA
Rfam family: Eukaryotic large subunit ribosomal RNA
Source: RNAcentral
GCGCUGGACCGUGUACAAGUCUCCUGGAACGGAGCGUCAUAGAGGGUGAGAAUCCCGUCUUUGACACGGACUACCAGUGCUCUGUGAUGCGCUCUCAAAGAGUCGAGUUGUUUGGGAAUGCAGCUCAAAAUGGGUGGUGAAUUCCAUCUAAAGCUAAAUAUUGGCGAGAGACCGAUAGCGAACAAGUACCGUGAGGGAAAGAUGAAAAGCACUUUGGAAAGAGAGUUAAACAGUACGUGAAAUUGUUGAAAGGGAAACACUUGAAGUCAGUCGCGUUCCUCGAGACUCAGCCUUGCCUUUCCGGCCUGGUGUACUUCUCGUUGAACGGGCCAGCAUCAAUUUUGAUCGUCGGAUAAAGGCGAGAGGAAGGUGGCACCAAUGAAAGUGAAAGUUGGGACCUCUGUCGUGGGGGGCACCGACGCCCGGACCAGACCUUCUGUGACGGAUCUGCGGUAGAGCGUGUAUGUUGGGACCCGAAAGAUGGUGAACUAUGCCUGAAUAGGGUGAAGCCAGAGGAAACUCUGGUGGAGGCUCGUAGCGAUUCUGACGUGCAAAUCGAUCGUCAA